This 8846-nucleotide long non-coding RNA is filed under the name Fragaria vesca (wild strawberry). RNAcentral describes it as "long non-coding RNA (FVES_LNC002281)". The record is from RNAcentral. Lineage: Eukaryota; Viridiplantae; Streptophyta; Magnoliopsida; Rosales; Rosaceae.
UGCUGAAGUCAUCGCGACAAUAAAACUGUUUCUUCACCUCAGAGUCUUGCUCAUAAAAUCCAAGUACCCCAUUUUUCAUCUCCUCAAGAACAUGAACAGGUAUUCCUGUAAGAAAUUUUGAAGAACAAGACAUUGUAUCAAGCUGAACUUAGAGUAUGUAUAUGACCGGUAUGAAUUCAAGCAUUGGAGGUGAGUUAAAGACUGAGCAUAAUCAUAUUAGUCAAGAAAUCAGUUUUAAGACAGUUAUAAAGUUUUAUCUGAUUUUAGUUUUUGAAUUAAAGAGCAGUUAGAAGGAUAUGACAGUUUCUUGAUGGAAGAAACUGUCAUUGUAUAACUGGUCUAUAUAGUCAGAUUUGGUCCCUGCUGAUACACAAUCGUAUUCUCAUAAAAAGUCCCAUUAACUUAGAGAAUAAUAACGGUGGAAUCAGGAGAAGAUCAUCUUGACGACUUCAGUUCUUGUAACAAGAUAAAAAGGGUCAAGUGCGUUAACAAGUAGAUACAAGGUACUCCAAGCGCGCUAACCGAAGAUAAGACGAGCGCCAAGACGAACAUAGAUCAAGAUGGAUCACUCAAGUUAUUCAUGUAAGUUAUAUAAAUUCCAGAUUUCAGUAAGGAUAGAUAAUGUUGUUGCUAUCCCGAAAACACAGGAAGUUCAAGUUCAUGUAUUCAUUAUGAAAUAGAUUUCAUUAAGUAUCGAAUUCAGUUCUUUCAAUUGGUAUCAGAGCAAUCUAUCUUCAUGUGAAUUACAUGUUCUGUGUUUCUUUAGAAUCCUGGGAUCUUACCAAUAAUCCGCAUACAGUUUUUAUCAAGUAAAUUUCAAAAGUUAUCCCGAUGUGCAUAUGUGUGCAUAAUAUAAACUUGAUGUGAUACAAAUGAUCUCAUGUUGAAUCAAUGAAGCGCAUGACAUAUAUUUACCAGUAUCAAUAUAUCUGUUAUUUAUUUUUGAUUAAGUUACUGCAUAUAUACACUUACUGUGUUUUAGAACUACCAAAGUGCAUCAGGAUUUCAGGAAAUAUACUUUUAGAAUGUCUGCUAUAUAUUUCUGUGAUUUAUAUAGUUUGUGUGUUCUUGUAAAAGUUCAUGCAUUCUGCAGAUUUAGGAUUGAUACUCUAUGUGCAAUCCUAAAUGCAGUAGACUGGAUUCAAUAUCAUAAACUGAUAUCAUGACUUGAUCUGAUAUAGAUACAGUAAAUGUUCCCACAGUAGAAGUUUCAUUUAGAAUUAUGUGUUUUUUGGUAAUUAAUCCGCAUAUAGUUAUUUUAUUUUAGGUUUUGAAUGUAAGUAUGUAUAUAAAGUUGAAACCUGAACUGUUAAGGUGUCUAUAAUUCAAGUUUAGUUUUACAUCAUAUGUAUGAAUUGACUACAUUUACAUGCCAUAUAUAUUAAUGACAUGUUUUAAAUGAGAUUGCAUAAGAUGUCUAUAUGUAUGCACUCAAGAACUUAAAACUGAUCUGCUGUAUACAAAUUUUCUUAUUCAUAUGCCACCAAAGUGGGAAAUGGAAAAGAGAUUUUACAGAAAUAAGUAGAUCAUAAGGAUAAUAUUAGACAGAUUAAGUUUCACUUACUACAUGCUACCAAAGUAGCUUAGUACACCAGAAACUAUCUAUUCAUUUAGUCUAAUAUAUAUGUAGAGAUCACAUCAUAAAACUUAAAAUUAAUUGAUAUUAAUUUCCAAAGAAAUGUAUCAAGUAUUUAGUUUGUGAUUGUGCAUAUAACAGAACUUGGAACAUUCAGAUUUCACUAGAUAUGUGUACACCACAAAGGUAGUCAGAGUCUCGAAAGUGUUUGAGUUUUCAUAUUCUUUUAUAUGAUUUGGUAUGAAUGGUUAUUCAAAUCAUGAAUUUUCAUUCGUUUUGGGACAUUCAGAACAUUCUAGCUAGUAUCAUGAUACACUAGAAAUUUUAAACUGAUCAAUUUGAAGUGCAAUUUACCAUGAUCACAUUGAGGAGAAAGAUUCACCAGGAGCAUUGUUUACAGUUGCAAGGAUAGAAAGAAGCAAGAACAAGAGGCCAGCAAUUUUGUGUUAAGGAAAAUAUGGCUGAGAUUCAGUGGGAGACAAUUGAAUGUAUCUGUACCAGUGGUCAUAUGAGAAAAAGUUUCUAGCUACUCCAUCUUAAGGACAGGAAGGAAAUAGAAAAUUUCCAGGAUGAUGAAGUCAGUGAUUUCAAGUAAAUGGUUUAGUAAUAUUGAUAAGCAUCAGGAGCAAAUAAGUUGUUCAAUAAAAUGCUGAGCGAGACUUCUUCUCAUCGCCAAGAAAUGAUGAGUCUGGCUAUUUUGUAAUGAGCAACUAGAGGAUGCAGUUAAAGUUCAGUGUUGCAUUGUGCAAGACAUGUGUUUGAAAACGUGACAGAAUACAGUACAUUUCCUUGGACUUCUAUGUAUGAUCAGUGAAGUUGUGCAGUUUUGGGCUUAAAGAUGAAGUUCUAGUACUGUUUAACCAAGUGAGAACGGCUCAUGGUGUUUUCAGUGAAUUCACUGCUGCAACAGUUCCUAGAGUUUGUUGACGACAUGAUCACAGUCUUCUUUCAAGAUGUCAAGUUAUGAGGAUUUUUGAUAAAAUGCCAUAGAGAAAUCUCUGAGUUGGAAGUCAUUGUUUGGGAACAUGUUUUCAGAAUAGUUUACAGGAAGAAGGCCAGAAAAUUGUGUACUUUUAUGCAAAGGAUAAGAGAUUAUUUCAGAUUGGAUCAGACUGAAACUGCGUUGUUUUAGCAGUAUUGAAGCUUGGGGCUGCCGAUAAUUGCUCAAGCAAAAGGAUAAGGAUUUGGUUCUAAUAGUUCAAUUGUGAAAAGCGUUAUAUUUAAAAGUGAGGUCUGACUAAAGUGGUGAGUAUUUGAAAGACAUAUAAAGCGAGGAUGGCAUAAAGAUCUGACAGGACUUAUUAUAUUUACAAGGAUAUGUGUCAGUGGAGCCAUGAACAAAAUAGACCUUCAGAAGAAUAGAAAAGCAUGUCAGAGGAACAUAAAUCUCUCGAAGAAAACCGGAAAGAAGAUCAGAUCCACAGUCGAAGAAGACGAGGUCACCAUUGAAGUAAUAGGAUGUUAAUUUGAUCAAGUUGAAGCGACUUCAGUCCGAAUCAAGACAAGAAGGGAGUCGACUAUUACAGGUAGUACUAGGUCUACGUGGAUGCUGAUUUGUAUACAUGUAUGAUGCUAAUGUUUUCGUUGGCAAGGUUGGUAGUUUCAGGUAAGAUUGGUGGGCAGAUGUUUAAUGCAUACCAGGUGCUUGAUGAAAGAUCUGACCCAAAUCUAAGUUGUGAGGAUUACCUCAAAUGGAUAUGUAUAAGGAGGUUGAUGUAAUGGAAACAUUGACAGAGUUUUGGUAAUAUGAAGGUGAAGGGUGGCCACAAUGUAGGAUGAUGCGUAAUUGAGGACAUGGAAAUAUGCAUUAAGAAUGAUAAGGUACAGUGCUUCAGACCCUUGUUCUUAUUGCUAUUUUGACAUGUUUUCUUAUGAUUGUGCCAUCCUUGUUUAUCAUUGUAUAUAUACCACAUUGAAGCUAUACAGAUUCUACACAUUUCCCUUGCUUAGAUAAGAGUUCGACAAUUAUUGGUUCUGCUUUAGAGAUCAACAUGCAAGUUUGUAAUUCGUUGAUUGAGAUGCAUUAAAAUGUGAGUGGACAUUGGCUGCGCUAAGCAAGUUUGAUGAGGUAAUAUAAAGAUAUUUGUUUGGCAUGGAACUUGAUAAUUUCAGGAUAUGUAUGAAUAGACUGCUUAGAUUGACGGCCUGACUUUGUAAUUUGGAUGGUUGAGAGCACAGUAUUAUGAUACAGAAUAGGGCUAUCAAGUUUUGGGAAUCACCAAGCAGGUUUGGAGAUUUACAGGGAUACUAGCAUGGUCUUGUCUCCUCCCUGUAUUUUGGGCAUUUAUUAACUGAAGAAAAUUUAUAUGGUUAUGGAUUAAGCCAUUAAGGGAAUUAGAAACUCUAACAUCUGCAAUACCAAAAUUUCUAGUGGGAGAAGAAUUGAAGACUACUGUGAACGGUGUAUGUGAAAUAAUGCAGAUGAAGUGCAGAAUGAAAUAUUAGAGCAGUACAAGGAAUGCCAGAUAUAGUAGCACCAGAAAAUACAGAAAUACAAAGUUGCAGCGCCAACAUUAAGGUCUGGGAGAGAAAGGAAAUUUGGAAUCCCAGAUGACCUCUGUGGGAGACAAAGAAAGUUUCCAAUCCCAGAUAGUCAGCAUUAAGAAGGUCUGGGAGAAAAAGAAAGUCUGCAAUCCAAGAAUGGUAGUACCAGAAAGGUCUGGGAGAGAAGGAAGGUCUACGAUCCUAUAUGUCUACAGAAUAUUAAGGUCUGGGAGUGAAAGUAAGGCUGAAAUCCCAAUGACUUAUGUUUACCACAUCAUUUAAUCACGCAAUACAGUCAGUUAAUAGUGAUAAAUGGAUGGAAAGCAAGGCUAAAAAUGGAGUGUGGACUUCGGUGAAUAAAGUUGAUACAUGCAAACCUAUAGGCUGCAAAUGGGUUUUCAAGACCAAGCCAGAUGCAGAUGGGAAAUUGAAAGAUACAUUGCCAGGUUAGUUGCAUAUUUUGUUUUGGAAUUGUGAUCAGUUUGGGAAUUUGAUUUGUUUAGCUACUGCAUUGGAAUCAUUGUUUUGUUGAAUUGGAUGAACACGAUGCAUAAAAGAUCAAGUUAUAAAUAUUGCAGCAUAAGAAGUGCAGAUUUGGCCUGUUUGACUCUUUGGACAAGUGGGAGUUUGUGAACUCAGUGACACUAAGAGGAUGCAAUAGGGAUACAACUAUAGCAUUAUGAAGAACUCCAUGAGUGUGCCUAGUCACUGAAUGGUUCAGGAAUUGGUUCAUAUAUCUAAAGUUAAGAUGAAGUACUGUUCUGUAUUGAGAAUCGUUAUUUUGAGAAAGUUUUUGAUAUGACACCCCAAUGAGAUAUUGUGCCAUGGGCUACAGUGAUUACAAGGAAUGCAAAAGAUGAGAAAAUAUGAACAAGUUUUAGUAAGGAUCAAGGACAAUCAUGUAUGCCAAAUACAAUAUUAUUAUGGUCAGUAUUGCCUCACAGAUUUAGCAUGCAAAACUGCAAAAGAGGAAGAGGCAUCUACAUCUUAAGGGAGACAAAUUGCAAAAGGUCAGUAUUUAAGCAAAAUAAAGUGAACUAAUAGCAUUUGCUAUAUGCUUUGAUUUUAUUCCCUCAGGAUGGAUUAAACAUUGUAGUUCAUUCAUGUUCAUAUAUUUCAUGUAUUGUUUGCUGCAUAAUCAAGUUGUACAACUAUAGAUGCUGUUAAUGUAAUAGCAAUUUUGCAGUCAAAUGAUUCUCAAGUAUGAAAUAAUUUCAGUCUUCAAUUUUAUAUUGAAAUUUUGUUAGGGCCAUUUAUAUGCUUAUAUUGCAGAUGAUUACUUAAGUUUAAGCAUAUAUGUGUUACUGUGUUUUGGGGUAAUUCAUGUGGUUUUAUUUGCUGCAUUGUGAUCUUGGAAUGAUGGUGAUUUUCUAAUUCACCAAGCCAUCCUUAGGUUCAUUGUAGUUAAAUAUAGCUGACAGAAUUUUGAAACAGAUUAUUAAUGUGAAUUGAAUUCAAGUGCGCACACUACAGCUACUGUGUUAUAUAUGUAUAUGAGUUUUGAACAAUGUCUAGUUCAGUGGGAGAUUGUAAGAAAUUUUGAAGAACAAGACAUUAUAUCAAGCUGAACUUAGAGUAUGUAUAUGACCGGUAUGAAUUCAAGCAUUGGAGGUGAGUUAAAGACUGAGCAUAAUCAUAUUAGUCAAGAAAUCAGUUUUAAGACAGUUAUAAAGUUUUAUCUGAUUUUAGUUUUUGAAUUAAAGAGCAGUUAGAAGGAUAUGACAGUUUCUUGAUGGAAGAAACUGUCAUUGUAUAACUGGUCUAUAUAGUCAGAUUUGGUCCCUGCUGAUACACAAUCGUAUUCUCAUAAAAAGUCCCAUUAACUUAGAGAAUAAAAACGGUGGAAUCAGGAGAAGAUCAUCUUGACGACUUCAGUUCUUGUAACAAGAUAAAAAGGGUCAAGUGCGUCAACAAGUAGAUACAAGGUACUCCAAGCGCGCUAACCGAAGAUAAGAGGAGCGCCAAGAUGAACAUAGAUCAAGAUGGAUCACUCAAGUUAUUCAUGUAAGUUAUAUAAAUUCCAGAUUUCAGUAAGGAUAGAUAAUGUUGUUGCUAUCCCGAAAACACAGGAAGUUCAAGUUCAUGUAUUCAUUAUGAAAUAGAUUUCAUUAAGUAUCGAAUUCAGUUCUUUCAAUUCCAUGGUUGAUUAUCUGAAAGAAGCCCAACUCUUGAUGCUUCUCCAACUCUUGCAACAAUCUCCUUUUGUUUAGCUGGAUCGGAAAGGCCUCCGAGGUCAACGACUGGAAUGGUGAAUUGGUUUUCUUCUAUUUCAGAGGUAUUGAUGAUAUUGUACUGAUCUGGUGGAUGAUGAAAAAUUCGAGGAAUCUCGGUUAUGCCAGCAUCAACAAGGCCUUUGACACCCUCCUUUGUGUCAUCAAAAGCUUGUAGUUCACUUUUCCUGUCAUAAGUGGUUGCUGCAAUAUCCUUUGUGUUGGCUACCAUCUUGGUCAGUGGCAAGGUAAGAUGGUAGAUUUUUCAGAUCAGAUCUACAAAUCAGAAAUAUUCAUGCAUAAGAGACCACCAGAUAAGAUCAUUUAUAGUUUUAUACAAUUAUACAAAUCACAAGUAGCCAAAUAACCUCUCUUUUUUUUUCCAAAGUUUGAUGCUGGAUUUAUUUAUCAUUGUGGCGGCCAAAUGAUAGUGUUAGACCACAUAUCUAUAAGAUAGGCAGCCACUUAUUUUGAAUAUUUCUAGAAACAAAACAAGAAUGAUGAAAACAGCUGAUCAUACAUUUCACUGGAGAAUGAACUUCAGCUCAAUCCCAAAUAGUUUCGUUAGUAUAGAAUCAUGAGAAGUAAUGUUCCCUUGACUCCAAGUUCAGAACUUAAAAUGAUUGUCAACUGUCCACAAGGCCUUGGUUCCCUGUACUUUGGAGGCUAGGAUUUUCUUCUAAUGAAUCUAAUCAUAUAUUAUUGAUUUAAUUGUCCAUAUAUUUUUGCUAAUGUUUGAUUAAUAAAUUAAUUACCAAUAGGUCACAGCUCACCGGCAUGAAAACUACUUUUAACUGAUACCAUUUGUAAUGAUUUUGCAGAUGAAUUUGAUGCCUUAAUUAUGUAGCUGUUAUUGCUUAAGUUGAAUCUUACCAAAGACAAACCAAUAUAUAACAGCUGAGUUUACAUUUGUUGGACAUGUAUCUUCACCGUAGUGCUUAAAAGUUUUAUUUGCAUUUUCUACACAAAAGAAAUCUUGGCCAAACAUAGCAUGGAUUUCACUGCAUUAAUACUCCUCUUAGUCUCCAAGUUCAAAGCUCAAAAUGAGGCAACGCAGAGGUACCAUCGAGGCCUUUUUGAUUGAAGUAGGCAAAAUAGUCCCUAACAGUUGUCUCCCGUACUUUGGAGGAUUGUCUGCUGAUAAUAACUCCUUGAUCGGUCCAUAGAGUUUUGUUAAUGGCAGCAAUCCUGUGCAGAAAAAGCUUGCAACCGAUACUCGUGGACCUCUACGGUUUGCCAGUACUGUGUUCAACACUCUUGAAUCUGUCAUUGGAUAUAAGCUGAAACCACCAAAAGAAUUCUAUUCAGUAAAAAUAGAAAAUAUGUAACUGAAUCAAACUAAGAAUUUGAAACACCUCAACAAAAGCAUUCUAGAGAUACUCAAACGCAAUAACUAAGAAUGUACAUGUUUAGAAUCAUGAUGUAGCAGUAUCUUUCCAUGUUUUGGCCUAUAUUUGAUCCAUGUAGUUUGGGGAGUAUCUUUCUCUUUGGAACAGUCAUUACAAAUUCAUCAAAUUAAUUCCUGUAAUACUUAACAGUUGCAAUUAAGGUUAAAUCAGGUUUUGCCAAAUCAAUUCUGGGAAGGACUAUUUUGGUCCGGUAUGCUCAGCAGAAUUAGCCCUUCGCGUGCAUGUCAUUUGAGGAAAAUCAAAAUCAGUUUGGCCUUGAUGAAACCGUUAGCUGAGUACAGUUGACAGAAAGAAAAAAAAUUGAUCAAACAUUUCUGAAUAUUCAAGAAGAAUGAUGCUUAGACUUGCCUGCAGAAGAUCUCCAACAUUAACCACAAGAGCACCGGGCACAGGAGGUACAUCAAACCACUUGUUCUGGUGAAGGACUUGAAGGCCACCAAUAUGGUCUUGCAGAAGAACAGUAAGGAAGGCAUUAUCAGCAUGUUUGGUUGCGCCUAGAGUCAGUUCUGGCUGUGGACAAGGGGGAUAGUAAUGGCCUGCUAGCAGAAGCCCCUCGCUACAAUCUAUGUCAUUCAAGUGACUUGGCUUCAAUCCAAGAGCUUCAGACAACAACUCGAACAAUAGCUUACCCACCUUCAUUACUUGAUCUGAGUACUCUACAAGUAUGUCUCUACAAAGUGGAACAACAGAAACGCACAUGAAACGUACGUAUUGAUUCUAUGGUUGUUCAUGACAGAAAAUAAAAAGAAGUGUAUUAGAAAAUAUGGGAAACACUACUGUCAUGAAUUUACUAAUUUCAGAAAAUUACAGCAUAGAGUAUAUUGAAGAGCCCUUGUCACAUACCUGCAUACUUCUGGGAAGUCUUCUGGUUUAGUAGGAAUUGGAGCCAUGUAACAACUAAAAGUAUCUCUCCAAUUAGUCGCCGGUGCACUAUAUAGAUCAAAGUUGCUAUUGUAGAGCACAGGAUUCUUGAAAUGAUCGCGACUAUAAAGCUUCUUCUUCACCUCAGUGUCCUGCUCAAAAAACCGACGUACCCCAUUUUUUACCUCCUCAAGAACAUCAACAGGUAUUCCAUGGUUGACUAUCUGAAAGAAAGCCCCAAGUCUCUGAUGCCUCUCCAACUUUUGCAACAAUCUCCUUUUGUUUAGUUAAAUCCAAAAGGCCUUC